AACGCUGGCGGCGUGCCUAACACAUGCAAGUCGAACGGAGUGUUGAGAGCUUGCUUUUAACACUUAGUGGCGGACGGGUGAGUAAUGUAUGAGCAACCUGCCUUUCAGAGGGGGACAACAGUUGGAAACGACUGCUAAUACCGCAUAAAGUAUUUAGGAGGCAUCUCUUGAAUACCAAAGGAGCAAUCCGCUGAAAGAUGGGCUCAUAUCUGAUUAGCUAGUUGGUGAGGUAACGGCUCACCAAGGCUGCGAUCAGUAGCCGGACUGAGAGGUUGAACGGCCACAUUGGGACUGAGAUACGGCCCAGACUCCUACGGGAGGCAGCAGUGGGGAAUAUUGGGCAAUGGGCGAAAGCCUGACCCAGCAACGCCGCGUGAAGGAAGAAGGCUUUCGAGUUGUAAACUUCUUUUGUCAGGGACGAGUAGAAGACGGUACCUGACGAAUAAGCCACGGCUAACUACGUGCCAGCAGCCGCGGUAAUACGUAGGUGGCAAGCGUUGUCCGGAUUUACUGGGUGUAAAGGGAGCGUAGACGGAACAGCAAGUCUGAAGUGAAAUGUAGGGGCUCAACCCCUGAACUGCUUUGGAAACUGUUGAUCUUGAGUACCGGAGGGGCAGGCGGAAUUCCUGGUGUAGCGGUGAAAUGCGUAGAUAUCAGGAAGAACACCGGUGGCGAAGGCGGCCUGCUGGACGGUAACUGACGUUGAGGCUCGAAAGCGUGGGGAGCAAACAGGAUUA
Molecule: ribosomal RNA, 737 nt
Filed under: uncultured bacterium
Lineage: Bacteria
Description: bacterial SSU rRNA
Rfam family: Bacterial small subunit ribosomal RNA
Source: RNAcentral